Molecule: ribosomal RNA, 253 nt
Filed under: uncultured bacterium
Lineage: Bacteria
Description: partial 16S ribosomal RNA
Rfam family: Bacterial small subunit ribosomal RNA
Source: RNAcentral
UACGAAGGGGGCUAGCGUUGUUCGGAAUCACUGGGCGUAAAGGGCGCGUAGGCGGCUGUUCAAGGUCGGGGGUGGAAGCCUGUGGCUCAACCACAGAAUUGCCUCGAUACUGGACGGCUCGAGACCGGAAGAGGUCAGUGGAACUGCGAGUGUAGAGGUGAAAUUCGUAGAUAUUCGCAAGAACACCAGUGGCGAAGGCGGCUGACUGGUCCGGUUCUGACGCUGAGGCGCGAAAGCGUGGGGAGCAAACAGG